Molecule: long non-coding RNA, 483 nt
Filed under: Physcomitrium patens
Lineage: Eukaryota; Viridiplantae; Streptophyta; Bryopsida; Funariales; Funariaceae
Description: long non-coding RNA (PPAT_LNC012338)
Source: RNAcentral
UUGCAUAUCAGGAUUAUCAAACAGUACAGAAAUUUUUUAAGGUAAAACAAAAAAUAACUCUCAAACUUCUAUCUCCUCUUGAAGAGCUCUCAAAGAUGCCUCUGAAUGAGAACUCUUGAUAAAACUACACAUCUUACAGAAGAAGUAACAGUUUGCGAUCCAUGUCCCCGCCUGACAUCGGUGAUGAGAAGCUGGUAUGAUGGACAUGACGAGGUGUAGUGUCAAGACUGGUCACAGAGCCCUCAGAGUUCACAGAGUCAGAAGGACUGUAAACUGUUUUAAAUCCAGUAAUCUGUCCCCCUUUGCCAUCCUUCACCUUAAGUGUCAGGCCGAGGUCCAGAUGUUCGGUAGAGCCAACGACGGUUUCCUGAUCAUCAUACACAGCACAUUCCUUCAUGCUCAUGCCAUAUUCAAUCGCUAAGCAAGGUUUCAAUCUCCUAGGGGCAGGGACCAGCACCUGCGCCCCCGAAAAAUCUCGGUCUC